CAGUCGAGCGGAGAGAGGUAGCUUGCUACUGAUCUUACGGCGGACGGGUGAGUAAUGCUUAGGAAUCUGCCUAUUAGUGGGGGACAACAUUUCGAAAGGAAUGCUAAUACCGCAUACGUCCUACGGGAGAAAGCAGGGGAUCUUCGGACCUUGCGCUAAUAGAUGAGCCUAAGUCGGAUUAGCUAGUUGGUGGGGUAAAGGCCUACCAAGGCGACGAUCUGUAGCGGGUCUGAGAGGAUGAUCCGCCACACUGGGACUGAGACACGGCCCAGACUCCUACGGGAGGCAGCAGUGGGGAAUAUUGGACAAUGGGCGCAAGCCUGAUCCAGCCAUGCCGCGUGUGUGAAGAAGGCCUUAUGGUUGUAAAGCACUUUAAGCGAGGAGGAGGCUACUUUAGUUAAUACCUAAAGAUAGUGGACGUUACUCGCAGAAUAAGCACCGGCUAACUCUGUGCCAGCAGCCGCGGUAAUACAGAGGGUGCAAGCGUUAAUCGGAUUUACUGGGCGUAAAGCGCGCGUAGGCGGCUAAUUAAGUCAAAUGUGAAAUCCCCGAGCUUAACUUGGGAAUUGCAUUCGAUACUGGUUAGCUAGAGUGUGGGAGAGGAUGGUAGAAUUCCAGUGUAGCGGUGAAAUGCGUAGAGAUCUGGAGGAAUACCGAUGGCGAAGGCAGCCAUCUGGCCUAACACUGACGCU
This 692-nucleotide ribosomal RNA is filed under the name Acinetobacter pittii. Its description in RNAcentral is "bacterial SSU rRNA". It matches the Rfam family "Bacterial small subunit ribosomal RNA", at positions 59 to 747 of the family's 1533-position model. Lineage: Bacteria; Pseudomonadati; Pseudomonadota; Gammaproteobacteria; Moraxellales; Moraxellaceae. The record is from RNAcentral.